GCAGACACUUAUCAAAAUGAGAUCAAUAUGUUACAUAGAUAUUUUCAUGUAACCCAUGACGUUUAUGAAAAUAGAGAAUACUAAUAUAUGGCAUACAUGAUGCUUAACUAUUUUCCUUGUGUAUAUGUGGUAUUCAGUCUGAACUAGUCAUUGUUGUGAAUCAGUAAUUCAUCGUGGUUGAAUUCACAAUGAAACCCUGUUAAUCCAGUCUUUUCUGUACCCACUUAAUAUAUAUUGAUUAGUAGAUUUUGUAUGGAUGAAUGAAUCAUCUUUGUUGUUUGACUAUGAAUGUGGAAUAUUUCAGUUUCAAUAUGGUGGUCUUUAUAUAAUGGAGUCUGGACCACACAAUCCUGUGACUAACAGCAUGACCAUCCAUCUGUUGAAUUGGGAUACGAUGACAUGCUAUUGGUGAGCUUGUCCAGCUGAUCCUGUUAGUCAUGACAAGCAUGGGUGACUGACCAGAUCCAACCUGGAUCAUGACAGGAUGAGUGAAUCAUGUCUUUUGUAUAUAUACAUGUGUGAAGCAGUACCGGACCAAGAUUGUCCAGAAAGCAGGGUUUCCAGAUUGUCAGGGUCCGGGCUAACAGGGUUUCACUAUUCUUGCUUAGCUUGGUGCUACUUGCAUAUCAAAUAAUGAUGCUUAUUACGUGGAGCUUUAAUGUACAGAACUAUAUUUUGUAUGUUUGUAUUUGCUGACCUCAAACUGUGAAACCUCUUUAAAGUGGACAUAUGUCAAUACAAACUCUAUGUGAGGUGGAUGUUUGGUUUAACCAAACAUGGAAGUGACUGGGGUAAUUCCUUCUAUGUUUCAGUGUCUGAUUUACUGCUGGAAUAUUGCUGUUUGGUUUUCCAAGGUUUCUGGGGCACUCAUGUCCAGAUUAAUGAGGUUUCACAGUGUGUUAUCCCUUUUGUAUUUCUAGAAGUUAUCACCAUGGUGCAUAAAAGGGGAAGUUUUACGCGAAAAUCAACCUUUUUGUGUUGUUUUGAUUCAAACGCUUAAAUAAAUGAUUUUUGAGUGUGGACUUCCCCUUUUGACAAGUGUGUAGCUAGACUUUGCUGGGCUAUACUGUUUUGUUGUUUUGCCUAACUAGAAAAGCUGUAAUAAUGCUCCCUUGUAUGCCAGAUGUCAGCAGUAUCGUGAUGAAUUGUUAACUGUACUGGCAAAUAUCAUACAGGAUUGUAUUUCUCCACAACGGUUCUGAAUGGUUCAAGAGAUGUUUGGCAUAAUGUCACCAUCACCAUAAUACACUCAAUAUCACAACCUGUUUAGAAGUUUGUAGAUCAUAGCUCCUGUCUUCCUUGAGAGGUAUAAGUAUUAUGGGAUUAAACUGGCCUUCAGAUGGACCCUGUAGGCUGAAAUUAUCAACUUUCAGAAUAUUGCAGUUCACAGAAAUAUGUGACAAUUUGAAACUGUAUGAUUAAUUUCAACUGGGGGAGCUUACCGUAUUUCCUCCAAUUGACACACAUACUUCUCAAGACACCAAAGUGGAACAAUAAAUGCCAGGGUGUGAUUGUGAGUCAUAAAUGUGUGAAAACAUGGUGAGACUUCCUCUAAUAGACAUUUUUAUGUGUCUGAGAGGACAUUUAGCAACACAAAGAGGAGCGAGUCGUCUUCACCCCUGUUCACUGAUUCCAGUAUCAAAAUUUUAUGUCCUGCAGAAUUUGUAGACUUUGAUGGUGUAGCCUAGAGGUAAAAGUGCUUGCUCAGUGCCAAAAAUCUGGGUUUGUUUCCCCACAUGAUUACAAUAUGUGCAGACCAUUUCUGGUGUCCUUUGCCGCGAUAUUGCUGAAAUAUUGCUAAAAGCGGUGUAUAAUGGCGUCACCGCCAAGUUAUUUGUAUGUAUAAUUUGUUAAUGUCUAUUUUGAUACAGCCUCACUUUCCUUGCACCAAAGAAGAUACCGGUACUUACAUUACAGGCAUAUAUUUGUGCCCCUUUCUCAGAUAUAUUCCUGACACAGACUUGUUGUGUAAAAUUACGGAUUAAAUACAUUUUAUAUGAUUAUUGUUGUGAGAAAGUUUGACAUGACAGAUGGUCAGUUGUCUCUGUUAUACAGGAUUUCUUGAUCAACCUAUUAAAUGUAAAAUCAAAUAUUUCUAAUAAUUUGCCCAUAAUAUGGUCUCAGCUGAUCUACCAAAGUUUUGGAAGGUUUACACAGUAGACACACAGCACUGCCUUCCUGUAUUCAUUAUAUUACACCAAGUUCUCCAUGUCAGAACUUGACAACUGACAGUUUUAAAUUAAACAAAAAGCAACAACUACAUUAAAAUCAAGGCAUCAACCUUACUUCGUUAAUACAUCUCAUGUUCGGGGCGGUGGGGUAGCCCAGUGGUUAAAGCGUUGGCUCGUCACGCCGAAGACCCGGGUUCGAUAGCCCACAUGGGUACAAUGUGUGAAGCCCAUUUCUGGUGUUCCCCGCCAUGAUGUUGCUGGAAUAUUGCUAAAAGCGGCGUAAAACCAAACUCAGUCAGUCAUCUCAUGUUCCUGGGUUCCAAACAAAAGAAAAAAAAAGCUGGGGAUAUACUGAGGUAAACAAAUAAGCUGGUGAUGGAAACUGGAAAAUAUUAAAGGAACACGUGAAUUUUGCCCUGUGUUCCUUUAUUUAUUUCUCUCAGUAUAUUUCCAUAAAGCUGUGUGCUGUGUUCACACACAAAAAUGACCCAAAAAUAUUCAUGACCGCAACAUUUUUUGAUCAGUAUAUGUAUAUCAUAUGGGUGAAUGAUACUUUGAAAUGAUAAAUCCAAAACCAUUUGAAAAGGACUUACUGUUAUUGUUUAGGAUUUGUUUCCAGAUUUAUUCCAUCGGAACAUGACUGUUUUCUCUGUAGUUCCAUGUGUUGUUGAUUAUCUAGAGUUAAGGUUGCUUGUUUGAUGUUGAGAAACACCAGUGUUCUGUGUCCGCUACAUGUUGCCUCUUUGUAGCCCAAUUCUCAUUUUCUGGCAUAUUUUGACCAAUGUUGAUCUAUUUUUCACCAAAUGAAUAAAAGAUAUGAAUAUACA
Molecule: long non-coding RNA, 2998 nt
Organism: Haliotis rubra (blacklip abalone)
Lineage: Eukaryota; Metazoa; Mollusca; Gastropoda; Lepetellida; Haliotidae
Exons: 2
Source: RefSeq, a predicted model, not a curated record